Molecule: ribosomal RNA, 548 nt
Filed under: uncultured bacterium
Lineage: Bacteria
Description: bacterial SSU rRNA
Rfam family: Bacterial small subunit ribosomal RNA
Source: RNAcentral
UGGGGAAUUUUGGACAAUGGGCGCAAGCCUGAUCCAGCCAUACCGCGUGCGGGAAGAAGGCCUUCGGGUUGUAAACCGCUUUUGUCAGGGAAGAAAUCUUCUGGGCUAAUACCUCGGGAGGAUGACGGUACCUGAAGAAUAAGCACCGGCUAACUACGUGCCAGCAGCCGCGGUAAUACGUAGGGUGCAAGCGUUAAUCGGAAUUACUGGGCGUAAAGCGUGCGCAGGCGGCUUUGCAAGACAGAUGUGAAAUCCCCGGGCUCAACCUGGGAACUGCAUUUGUGACUGCAAGGCUAGAGUACGGUAGAGGGGAGUGGAAUUCCGCGUGUAGCAGUGAAAUGCGUAGAUAUGCGGAGGAACACCGAUGGCGAAGGCAGCUCCCUGGACCUGUACUGACGCUCAUGCACGAAAGCGUGGGGAGCAAACAGGAUUAGAUACCCUGGUAGUCCACGCCCUAAACGAUGUCAACUGGUUGUUGGGAGGGUUUCUUCUCAGUAACGUAGCUAACGCGUGAAGUUGACCNCCUGGGGAGUACGGCCGCAAGGUUG